This is a non-coding RNA of Odocoileus virginianus texanus, 1869 nucleotides long. The record is from RefSeq and is a predicted model, not a curated record. NCBI's taxonomy places the organism in Eukaryota, Metazoa, Chordata, Mammalia, Artiodactyla, Cervidae.
AAUUCCAUCACUCAUUCAAGCACUAUUAAUAUUUUGGGUAUAUUUCCUUCCAGCCUCCCCCCUUUAUAAAUCUACAUGAACUUUUCUUAAAUAGCUAAGAUGAUAUUAUAUUUGAUUUCAUAUCCUGCUCUUUCUCUCUCUAUCAUAAGAACUGUUUUGUGUUAUUACAUUAUGAAUAAACUUUAUUUUUUAGCAGCAUAAUUAUUUUCAUUCUAUAUUUGAAGUGGGAACUUAAAUUAUUUCAGACACCACAAUUAGAAACAACACAGAUUAAAGUUAAUGAAAUAAACUAAAAAAAAAUGUAUCUAUUCUAUACAUAGAAGUUCACUCUUGGUUCUGUUUUUUUUCUUCUUCUUCCUUUUCUGUGGAAUUCUAGUUUUCUCAUUAGGGAUUGAACCCGGGCAGCCACAGCAGUGGACGUGCCAAGUUCUAACCCCUGGACCCCUGGGGAAUUCUCUCUUGGUUCUGUUUUGAUCAUUUACAUUGUUGUUGUUUUAGUUGCUCAGGUGUGUCCGGCUCUUUUGUGACCCCGUGUAGCCUGCCAGGCUCCUCUGUCCAUGGGACUUUGAUCUUUAUAACUUCUUCCAAGUUCACACCUUCUCUGUGCUGUAUUAUCAGCAGUGCUCAGUUUCAAGCCACACAAUCCCAUGCCGUUGGAAGUAAGCCACCAUCAGGCCAUUCUCACGGCCCCUGGCCUCUGGCAGUUUACCUGGGAGAUGAGGUGACUUCCCAGAGGACAGAGGUGAGGCAGAUGUCCCCCAGGAGCACAGGUGAGGACAUCUUUAGGAUCAAAUCUAAGCCUUGAGGCCAAGGCUGGGCUGAUCUCCCCCAUCCAUACUCCAUCUACCAGUCCACUUCCGGAUGCCCCUACAUCCCCACUCCCCACCCCAACCUCACUCUUGGACCAUCCUGGUGUUCAGGGAGCUUGCCAAGCUGCCUCAUACCUGGUGCAUCACUAUUCCUCUUUCAAAAGUGUGUUUGGCACAAUUGGAAUUCCCCCAGGCUGGGUUAUCAGCCUCUUGCGUGCAUGUACAACUCUUACUGUCACUGUGCAUUUCACUUGGACCCCUUUCCUUUGCUCUAGUGGGCCAAGGACUGUGUCCUGCUUGGCCUUGCAGUGCCCAAGCACCCUGGACAGUGGCUAACUGAACUAGGAGCAGGACACGUGUGUGGAUUGCCCUGCUUCACGGCAUGCAAACUGCACGGUGACCACAAGGUGGCGCCCACCACACACCGUUCGCAGUUCCUGGCCUUGCCCAGGCUGUUCUAGUUCCACCAGGGACACCUGCCCCAGGUGGGGCAGGGCCCUCAGAGCCGCCUCCUCUCUCUGCAGAUACCCAAGGAGCCGAAAAGCACUGCCCUCCAUCCUGAGGAUUCCAGCUUCAGGCCCCCAGAACCUUAAACUCCCCGGGCAAGAGAGAAGCAGGCUCCACAGAUUGUCCUGCUGCUCCCCAAGGAGCCAGUGCUGACCACGCUGGGAACACAAGAGCAAGGCGAGUGGCGCCCCGCCUGGUGGCCUGGUCCAGGGCGCCUCCAUCUCCCCCUCCACCUUCAUCCCAGGGGGCCUGCCUGAGAAUGGAGGAGGAGCUGUAGACAAAGUGGGCAUCCAAGCCAGGUUCCAGCUGCAGGAGGCCUGCCACUGGGGGUCUUGGCGGUCACAUCCUGAGAAAAACAGGCCGGAGUGGGGCUGGGGGCUGGAGGUGGACCCAAGUCCUCCUCGGAGACAACAUAGCUGCCAGUUGUCUGCUGAGCUCUUCCACCCCCUGCCUGCCCAUAAGCAGUGUCUUCCAUGCCCCCUGAACCCCCCAGACCUCCCUGUGCCAUGCAGAUGGCAGCCUCUGUGAAUAAACAUGCCUGGUGUUCUUUGUA